UUCCUUUUAACAUUAUAAAUUCAGUGAAGUUAGUCACAUCAUUACAUAUGAUUCACCUAUCAAAACAAAGGAGAAAAAUAGUUUUGAUAUCCCACGUUAAAAACAAUAAUGUUAUUAGCGCGCUCAUCACUGUAAUUAGACUAUUAAAAACUGUAAAAAUGAGAAUUUUAAAACUCCAUGCCCACAUGUAAACCUUAAAAUAUUACCAUUAUAAUACGUAAAAAUACAAUUUAACGUUGUUGAUUAAAAUAGUGAUCAAAACUGCUUUCUAAAAGUAGAGUAGAGUGGGAGUUGUGAUAACACUGCAGAGAAGGAAGUUGUUCCAACAAUUAAAACGGUGGUAAAUUCAAAAUCACUAUCAAUGUGGUGGGAGGGGCAACCUAUUUGUGUGGAAUUAGUUCAGAAUCCAGCACAGUCCACGAAAUAUUAAAACUCUGGAAACAAUGCAUCAUGUCUUGGUCUAUGUAGAUGACCUGGUUAACUUAGCCCACAGUAAAUUUAAUAAAACAGUCAGAGAUAGAAUGCUACCGAUUCCCACUGAAGUUACAGAAUGGACUUCAAGUUAGG
Molecule: long non-coding RNA, 567 nt
Organism: Diabrotica virgifera virgifera (western corn rootworm)
Lineage: Eukaryota; Metazoa; Arthropoda; Insecta; Coleoptera; Chrysomelidae
Exons: 3
Source: RefSeq, a predicted model, not a curated record